AUUGAACGCUGGCGGCAGGCUUAACACAUGCAAGUCGAACGGUAACAGGAGAAAGCUUGCUUUCUUGCUGACGAGUGGCGGACGGGUGAGUAAUGCUUGGGAAUCUGGCUUAUGGAGGGGGAUAACGACGGGAAACUGUCGCUAAUACCGCGUAGUGUCGAGAGAUGAAAGUGCGGGACCUUCGGGCCGCAUACCAUAGGAUGAGCCCAAGUGGGAUUAGGUAGUUGGUGGGGUAAAGGCCUACCAAGCCGACGAUCUCUAGCUGGUCUGAGAGGAUGACCAGCCACACCGGGACUGAGACACGGCCCGGACUCCUACGGGAGGCAGCAGUGGGGAAUAUUGCGCAAUGGGGGCAACCCUGACGCAGCCAUGCCGCGUGAAUGAAGAAGGCCUUCGGGUUGUAAAGUUCUUUCGGUAUUGAGGAAGGUUGUUGUGUUAAUAGCACGACAAAUUGACGUUAAAUACAGAAGAAGCACCGGCUAACUCCGUGCCAGCAGCCGCGGUAAUACGGAGGGUGCGGGCGUUAAUCGGAAUAACUGGGCGUAAAGGGCACGCAGGCGGACUUUUAAGUGAGGUGUGAAAUCCCCGGGCUUAACCUGGGAAUCGCAUUUCAGACUGGGAGUCUAGAGUACUUUAGGGAGGGGUAGAAUUCCACGUGUAGCGGUGAAAUGCGUAGAGAUGUGGAGGAAUACCGAAGGCGAAGGCAGCCCCUUGGGAAUGUACUGACGCUCAUGUGCGAAAGCGUGGGGAGCAAACAGG
RNAcentral lists this ribosomal RNA (759 nucleotides) under Aggregatibacter segnis. RNAcentral's name for it is "bacterial SSU rRNA". It matches the Rfam family "Bacterial small subunit ribosomal RNA", at positions 28 to 776 of the family's 1533-position model. The record is from RNAcentral. Lineage: Bacteria; Pseudomonadati; Pseudomonadota; Gammaproteobacteria; Pasteurellales; Pasteurellaceae.